UGUUUUUAUAAAUAAAGUUUUGUUUUAAAAAAACGGAUGACGUCAUCAACCGGAGCCUAUUUAAGGUGCGACUAAUUGCCGGAGCGUUCUCUCUCCACUUGGCUGCCAGACUCCGGUCGGUCGACACCGUCCGAUUGCUGCUCUCCACGCAUUUUGACGAAGCAUUUGAAGAGAAGCUCAGCUUGGCAGAAGGUGUGCAGUUCGAAUCAAAAUGGCUGACUCUGCGUAUCCUUUCAACGUGGCUUCUUCAAACAUUUUGUUGCAAUGACCCAAUUUCAACACAUUUAACUUUGUUACCUUGUCUUGCAGGUCAUCGAGGAGGUGUCCGGUUCUUGUCACAAGUAAGGAAAAAAAAAAAACUCAAAAAAAUUCAAAUUCAACUUGUCCCCUUUUUUUCUCCCCCCAGCACACAGAUCACGGGUGAGGUGAGAACAUGUAUUUUGUCCAAAAUGUCAUUUGUGAAAACUGAUCUGUUCACGAAACGCUAUUAACUUUGAGUGUUGUGGUG
Molecule: long non-coding RNA, 508 nt
Organism: Hippocampus comes (tiger tail seahorse)
Lineage: Eukaryota; Metazoa; Chordata; Actinopteri; Syngnathiformes; Syngnathidae
Exons: 3
Source: RefSeq, a predicted model, not a curated record